Molecule: transfer RNA, 69 nt
Filed under: Megaxyela euchroma
Lineage: Eukaryota; Metazoa; Arthropoda; Insecta; Hymenoptera; Xyelidae
Description: tRNA-Tyr
Source: RNAcentral
GGUAAAAUGGCUGAGAUUUAUUAGGUGAUAAAUUGUAAAUUUAUUAAGGAAAAUUAUUUUCUUUUACCA